RNAcentral lists this ribosomal RNA (486 nucleotides) under uncultured bacterium. RNAcentral describes it as "partial 16S ribosomal RNA". It matches the Rfam family "Bacterial small subunit ribosomal RNA", at positions 30 to 507 of the family's 1533-position model. The record is from RNAcentral.
AUUGAACGCUGGCGGCAUGCCUUACACAUGCAAGUCGAACGGCAGCACGGGUGCUUGCACCUGGUGGCGAGUGGCGAACGGGUGAGUAAUACAUCGGAACAUGUCCUGUAGUGGGGGAUAGCCCGGCGAAAGCCGGAUUGAUACCGCAUACGAUCCACGGAUGAAAGCGGGGGACCUUCGGGCCUCGCGCUAUAGGGUUGGCCGAUGGCUGAUUAGCUAGUUGGUGGGGUAAAGGCCUACCAAGGCGACGAUCAGUAGCUGGUCUGAGAGGACGACCAGCCACACUGGGACUGAGACACGGCCCAGACUCCUACGGGAGGCAGCAGUGGGGAAUUUUGGACAAAGGGCGAAAGCCUGAUCCAGCAAUGCCGCGUGUGUGAAGAAGGCCUUCGGGUUGUAAAGCACUUUUGUCCGGAAAGAAAUCCUUGGCUCUAAUACAGUCGGGGGAUGACGGUACCGGAAGAAUAAGCACCGGCUAACUACGUG